This 456-nucleotide ribosomal RNA is filed under the name uncultured soil bacterium. Its description in RNAcentral is "bacterial SSU rRNA". It matches the Rfam family "Bacterial small subunit ribosomal RNA", at positions 27 to 476 of the family's 1533-position model. The record is from RNAcentral.
GGGACGAACGCUGGCGGUGUGCUUAACACAUGCAAGUGGUGCGACGAACCAGAGCUUGCUCUGGGGCAAAGCCGCGAACGGGUGAGUAACACGUGGGUAAUCUACCCCGAUGACCGGGACAACCCGAGGAAACUCGGGCUAAUACCGGAUGUGGUACACAGGCUUAAGCCUGUUUACUAAAGGUAGCUUCGGCUUCCGCAUUGGGAGGGCCCGCGGCCCAUUAGCUUGUUGGUGGGUCAAGGCCUACCAAGGCAACGAUGGGUAGCUGGUCUGAGAGGACGAUCAGCCACACUGGGACUGAGACACGGCCCAGACUCCUACGGGAGGCAGCAGUGGGAAUCUUGCGCAAUGCGACGAAAGCGUGACGCAGCAACACCGCGUGAGGGAAGACGGCCUUAGGGUUGUAAACCUCUUCAGAGUAGGGACGAAGGUGAUGACGGUGAAGUAGCCGAGUGU